CACCCUAGUCCCUGGAUCCGGGAGACAGGGUUGCAAGCUUUGCUUCCUGUCUCCUUGCCAGUCAGUCUCAUGAUUCAGCUCUUUUUCUUUCUUCCUUUUCUUUCUCAAAAGCCGGUGCCAUGAUAUUGGCUUCUCUGCGUGUUAGGCAGUGUAACGCCCAGGUUCAACUGAAGCCCCAGCCUGUCCACAGUCAGGAAAACCAAAAGCCCCAAGAAGUCUAAGCUGCUAGAACAUACUCCCUCAGACUUCAAGACCUGCUAGAGAAAAAGUUUGAGUUAAGGAAGGAAAAGCUAAAAAGAUCUUCGUUUUCUAGGAAAAGGAAGGAAAACUAGUGCUGAACAAGUGAUCAGACCUCCACUUGUCUGCACCCAAACAACUCUUGGUAAGAAGGCUGCUUUGAGCAACUUGGAUGAGCAAUAACAGAAAAAGGAGCAUCUCGAUCUCCAUCACAUCCUUCCCAAAGUUCUUCUGCCAUUUUCCCUGAGGAUUCAUCCUUGCCUCUUUUCCUAAUGAAUCGACGGAUUCCCUGAAGGGGGGUUGGGGGGCCUUCCUUGCCUGCGCAGAUCAGUUGAGGACCAGAGCAGACCCGUUAACACCAAAAUAAAUUAGGCCAACAUUC
Molecule: non-coding RNA, 619 nt
Organism: Sus scrofa (pig)
Lineage: Eukaryota; Metazoa; Chordata; Mammalia; Artiodactyla; Suidae
Source: RefSeq, a predicted model, not a curated record